UUAACACUGAGGCGUGAUGACGAGGCACUACGGUGCUGAAGCAACAAAUGCCCUGCUUCCAGGAAAAGCCUCUAAGCAUCAGGUAACAUCAAAUCGUACCCCAAACCGACACAGGUGGUCAGGUAGAGAAUACCAAGGCGCUUGAGAGAACUCGGGUGAAGGAACUAGGCAAAAUGGUGCCGUAACUUCGGGAGAAGGCACGCUGACAUGUAGGUGAAGUGAUUUACUCAUGGAGCUGAAGUCAGUCGAAGAUACCAGCUGGCUGCAACUGUUUAUUAAAAACACAGCACUGUGCAAACACGAAAGUGGACGUAUACGGUGUGACGCCUGCCCGGUGCCGGAAGGUUAAUUGAUGGGGUCAGCGCAAGCGAAGCUCCUGAUCGAAGCCCCGGUAAACGGCGGCCGUAACUAUAACGGUCCUAAGGUAGCGAAAUUCCUUGUCGGGUAAGUUCCGACCUGCACGAAUGGCGUAAUGAUGGCCAGGCUGUCUCCACCCGAGACUCAGUGAAAUUGAACUCGCUGUGAAGAUGCAGUGUACCCGCGGCAAGACGGAAAGACCCCGUGAACCUUUACUAUAGCUUGACACUGAACAUUGAGCCUUGAUGUGUAGGAUAGGUGGGAGGCUUUGAAGCGUGGACGCCAGUCUGCGUGGAGCCGACCUUGAAAUACCACCCUUUAAUGUUUGAUGUUCUAACGUGGAUCCGUAAUCCGGGUUGCGGACAGUGUCUGGUGGGUAGUUUGACUGGGGCGGUCUCCUCCUAAAGAGUAACGGAGGAGCACGAAGGUUGGCUAAUCCUGGUCGGACAUCAGGAGGUUAGUGCAAUGGCAUAAGCCAGCUUGACUGCGAGCGUGACGGCGCGAGCAGGUGCGAAAGCAGGUCAUAGUGAUCCGGUGGUUCUGAAUGGAAGGGCCAUCGCUCAACGGAUAAAAGGUACUCCGGGGAUAACAGGCUGAUACCGCCCAAGAGUUCAUAUCGACGGCGGUGUUUGGCACCUCGAUGUCGGCUCAUCACAUCCUGGGGCUGAAGUAGGUCCCAAGGGUAUGGCUGUUCGCCAUUUAAAGUGGUACGCGAGCUGGGUUUAGAACGUCGUGAGACAGUUCGGUCCCUAUCUGCCGUGGGCGCUGGAGAACUGAGGGGGGCUGCUCCUAGUACGAGAGGACCGGAGUGGACGCAUCACUGGUGUUCGGGUUGUCAUGCCAAUGGCACUGCCCGGUAGCUAAAUGCGGAAGAGAUAAGUGCUGAAAGCAUCUAAGCACGAAACUUGCCCCGA
RNAcentral lists this ribosomal RNA (1271 nucleotides) under Salmonella enterica subsp. enterica serovar Infantis. Its description in RNAcentral is "partial 23S ribosomal RNA". It matches the Rfam family "Bacterial large subunit ribosomal RNA", at positions 1550 to 2802 of the family's 2925-position model. The record is from RNAcentral. Lineage: Bacteria; Pseudomonadati; Pseudomonadota; Gammaproteobacteria; Enterobacterales; Enterobacteriaceae.